AAGAAGAAACAACACACACAGUCAUCAAUAAAUGACAACAAAUGGAAGAGAAAAUAGUUAAUGGUUUGUCAAAUAUACAGCAGAACAUUCUAAAGGUGGAGUAAGUUAAAUGAACAGGUUAUAUAAAAAUGUCAAAGGUCACUAAAGACCACCACCAUCGGAAUGAUAACCACAGUUAGCAGCUUAGCCUUAAGUCAGGAGACUGAUACAUAAAUGAACAAACGUCCUCGACUGUUAUGGCUCAUGACUGGCCCCCACCACAGGCCUGAUCACACACCUCCUCCGUUCACGCUCCUCUCCGCCUGGUAACAACAAUCAUUAUCCGUUAAUAAUGUACGCAGCGAUCAGAACCAUCCAGCUCUUCCUAAUGGAUGCAUCUUUAAUGGCGGUCUUUUUAAUUAGGAACAGUCACGGCGGCUGAAUGUCAUCAGCUCCGCUCUCCUCACAUCCAUUAUUCAUCUGCUUCACUGCUCUUUGUUCUGGCAUUGACGGCGUCCACAGAGACGGAACAACACACUGACCUGGAGCAGGCCAUCGCUGUCCGCUCCGCUGACCGUCCUCAUCCGUCCUCAUCCGCACGGAAACACAGGACAAACCCGUCCUGCUGCCAACCUUCCCUUCUCUACGCCUCCCACAGGACCGUCAAAAUGGGGACGUGUAGCCCCCAAACCGUGGGUGGGUCUGCAGACUGCCUCUGACUAGGAUGGGCCUAAACUUUAGAGCUCUAGGCUCGAACUGAAGCCAGAAAUCCCUAACCUGAACCCACAAUCCUGUCCAGAGCUAACCAACGUGAGGAGACAAUAAAAAAAAAA
Molecule: long non-coding RNA, 812 nt
Organism: Cynoglossus semilaevis (tongue sole)
Lineage: Eukaryota; Metazoa; Chordata; Actinopteri; Pleuronectiformes; Cynoglossidae
Exons: 2
Source: RefSeq, a predicted model, not a curated record